UGAAUACGAGACGCUAAGGCGUCGAAGUAGUGUAUGUCAUACUUCCAAGAAAAGCUUGCACUGUCAUAGAUAAAAAACGCCUGUACCAUAACCGACACAGGUGGGUAGGUAGAGUAUACUAAGGGGCGCGAGAUAACUCUCUCUAAGGAACCCGGCAAAAUAACUCCGUAACUUCGGGAGAAGGAGUGCCUUAUUCGUAAGGUUGCAAUAACAAGAUCCAAGCAACUGUUUAUCAAAAACACAGGUCUCCGCUAAGUCGUAAGACGAUGUAUGGGGGCUGACGCCUGCCCAGUGCCAGAAGGUUAAAGAAGUUGGUUAGCAAUUGCGAAGCUGAUAACUGAAGCCCUGGUGAACGGCGGCCGUAACGAUAACGGUCCUAAGGUAGCGAAACUCCUUGUCGGGUAAGUUCCGACCCGCACGAAAGGCGUAAUGAUUUGGAUACUGUCUCGGAGAGGGGCUCGGUGAAAUAGACUUGUCUGUGAAGAUGCGGACUACCUGCACCAGGACAGAAAGACCCUAUGAAGCUUUACUGUAACUUGAAAUUGAAAUUGGACUUUAUUCGCGCAGUAUAGGUGGGAGGCGUUGAUUAUAAUCUUGUGGGAUUAUUGGAGCCAUCAGUGAGAUACCACUCCUGUAAUGUUAGAUUUCUAACUUUGAAUCAUUAUCUGGUCAAAGAACAGUUUCAGGCGGGCAGUUUGACUGGGGCGGUCGCCUCCUAAACGGUAACGGAGGCGUACAAAGGUUUCCUCUGAACGGUUAGAAAUCGUAUCUAGAGUGUAAAGGCAUAAGGAAGCUUGACUGUGAGACCUACAAGUCGAGCAGGGACGAAAGUCGGUCUUAGUGAUCUGACGGUACUGAGUGGAAAGGCCGUCACUCAACGGAUAAAAGUUACUCUAGGAUAACAGGCUGAUCUCCCCCAAGAGUUCACAUCGACGGGGAGGUUUGGCACCUGGAUGUCGGCUCAUCGCAUCCUGGGGCGGUAGUACGUCCCAAGGGUUGGGCUGUUCGCCCAUGAAAGCGGUACGCGAGCUGGGUUCAGAACGUCGUGAGACAGUUCGGUCCAUAUCCGGUGUAGGCGUUAGAAUAUUGAGAGGAGCCUUCUUUAGUACGAGAGGACCGAGAAGGACAUACCUCUGGUGUACCAGUUAUCGUGCCAACGGUAAACGCUGGGUAGCUAUGUAUGGAGUGGAUAACCGCUGAAAGCAUCUAAGUGGGAAGCCCACCUCAAGAUAAGUAUUCUCAAC
RNAcentral lists this ribosomal RNA (1244 nucleotides) under metagenome. RNAcentral describes it as "bacterial LSU rRNA". It matches the Rfam family "Bacterial large subunit ribosomal RNA", at positions 1564 to 2818 of the family's 2925-position model. The record is from RNAcentral.